This 446-nucleotide ribosomal RNA is filed under the name uncultured bacterium. RNAcentral's name for it is "partial 16S ribosomal RNA". It matches the Rfam family "Bacterial small subunit ribosomal RNA", at positions 338 to 795 of the family's 1533-position model. The record is from RNAcentral.
CCUACGGGUGGCAGCAGUCGAGAAUCAUUCACAAUGGGGGAAACCCUGAUGGUGCGACGCCGCGUGGGGGAAUGAAGGUCUUCGGAUUGUAAACCCCUGUCAUGUGGGAGCAAAUUAAAAAGAUAGUACCACAAGAGGAAGAGACGGCUAACUCUGUGCCAGCAGCCGCGGUAAUACAGAGGUCUCAAGCGUUGUUCGGAAUCACUGGGCGUAAGGCGUGCGUAGGCUGUUUCGUAAGUCGUGUGUGAAAGGCGCGGGCUCAACCCGCGGACGGCAUAUGAUACUGCGAGACUAGAGUAAUGGAGGGGGAACCGGAAUUCUCGGUGUAGCAGUGAAAUGCGUAGAUAUCGAGAGGAACACUCGUGGCGAAGGCGGGUUCCUGGACAGUAACUGACGCUGAGGCACGAAGGCCAGGGGAGCGAAAGGGAUUAGAUACCCUGGUAGUC